UAACAAAUAGCUUAUAUAAAGCGUAGUGCUGAAGAUACUAAAAAGAAAAUUUUCUUUGUUAG
Molecule: transfer RNA, 62 nt
Filed under: Bulinus truncatus
Lineage: Eukaryota; Metazoa; Mollusca; Gastropoda; Planorbidae
Description: tRNA-Phe
Source: RNAcentral